CCAGCCCUCUCCCUUCACCGCUUCACUUGCGGACACACCCACUGGACACCACACAACGUGAGCACACUCCUGGCGUCCCCCUCUCGCAGGCCUGACCUCGUCCGAUCCAGGCCGCUCACCCUGGGAAUCCAGCCGCCAGGUUGGGAGGAAGCGUGGGCCUCGUGAAGAGUCCACGUGAAGGUGUCCAGCUUGGGUCCCCACUAAUCACCAGACAUAUGAGAGAGAGAGCCUUCAGAUGACUCAGCCCCCAGCCCGGGAGCCGCCCCAGCUGACAAGUGUAGCAGAAAUGAGGUGCCUCACCAACCCUGUCCAAACUGCAAAAUAAAUAUUGUUGUUUUGAGCCAC
Long non-coding RNA from Carlito syrichta (Philippine tarsier), 345 nucleotides. RefSeq lists it as uncharacterized. Lineage: Eukaryota; Metazoa; Chordata; Mammalia; Primates; Tarsiidae. The record is from RefSeq and is a predicted model, not a curated record. The transcript is spliced from 2 exons.